ACGAACGCUGGCGGCGUGCUUAACACAUGCAAGUCGAACGGAAAGGCCCUGCUUUUGUGGGGUGCUCGAGUGGCGAACGGGUGAGUAACACGUGAGUAACCUGCCCUUGACUUUGGGAUAACUUCAGGAAACUGGGGCUAAUACCGGAUAGGAGCUUCUGCUGCCUGGUGGGGGUUGGAAAGUUUCGGCGGUUGGGGAUGGACUUGCGGCUUAUCAGCUUGUUGGUGGGGUAGUGGCUUACCAAGGCUUUGACGGGUAGCCGGCCUGAGAGGGUGACCGGCCACAUUGGGACUGAGAUACGGCCCAGACUCCUACGGGAGGCAGCAGUGGGGAAUAUUGCACAAUGGGCGGAAGCCUGAUGCAGCAACGCCGCGUGCGGGAUGACGGCCUUCGGGUUGUAAACCGCUUUCGCCUGUGACGAAGCGUGAGUGACGGUAAUGGAUAAAGAAGCACCGGCUAACUACGUG
This 467-nucleotide ribosomal RNA is filed under the name uncultured bacterium. Its description in RNAcentral is "partial 16S ribosomal RNA". It matches the Rfam family "Bacterial small subunit ribosomal RNA", at positions 29 to 507 of the family's 1533-position model. The record is from RNAcentral.